Molecule: transfer RNA, 87 nt
Filed under: Planctomycetota bacterium
Lineage: Bacteria; Pseudomonadati; Planctomycetota
Description: Planctomycetes bacterium (activated sludge metagenome) tRNA-Ser
Rfam family: tRNA
About the family: Transfer RNA (tRNA) molecules are approximately 80 nucleotides in length. Their secondary structure includes four short double-helical elements and three loops (D, anti-codon, and T loops).
Source: RNAcentral
GGAGGGGUGGCAGAGUGGUCGAUUGCACCGGUCUUGAAAACCGGCAGCCAUGCAAGUGGCUCGGGAGUUCGAAUCUCCCCUCCUCCG